UACGGAGGGGGUUAGCGUUGUUCGGAAUUACUGGGCGUAAAGCGCGCGUAGGCGGACCAGAAAGUUGGGGGUGAAAUCCCGGGGCUCAACCCCGGAACGGCCUCCAAAACUCCUGGUCUUGAGUUCGAGAGAGGUGAGUGGAGUUCCGAGUGUAGAGGUGAAAUUCGUAGAUAUUCGGAGGAACACCAGUGGCGAAGGCGGCUCACUGGCUCGAUACUGACGCUGAGGUGCGAAAGUGUGGGGAGCAAACAGG
This 253-nucleotide ribosomal RNA is filed under the name uncultured bacterium. RNAcentral describes it as "partial 16S ribosomal RNA". It matches the Rfam family "Bacterial small subunit ribosomal RNA", at positions 524 to 776 of the family's 1533-position model. The record is from RNAcentral.